CGGCAGGUGUCGCUCGGCCCAGCGCACUGCUAAGCUAGCCUCGGCCACUGUCCUCGUCCUCCACUAUCCUCUGUCCUUACUGCGAAGAAAUAUCUCAUGAGUGUGCUGGGCCAAAAGAAAGUAAAUUGAUAAGAAAGUUAUUUUUGUUCCUCUCCGAGCGCCUCGACUCCAAGUGACCUUUGACCUCUACACGCUACAGUGAACCCCAGCCUCUACAGUGAAUCCCAGCCUCUACAGUGAACCCCAGCCUCUACAGUGAAUCCCAGCCUCUACAGUGAACCCCAGACUCUACAGUGAACCCCAGCCUCUACAGUGAAUCCCAGCCUCUACAGUGAACCCCAGCCUCUACAGUGAAUCCCAGCCUCUACAGUGAACCCCAGCCUCUACAGUGAAUCCCAGCCUCUACAGUGAAUCCCAGCCUCUACAGUGAACCCCAGCCUCUACAGUGAACCCCAGCCUCUACAGUGAACCCCAGCCUCUACAGUGAACCCCAGACUCUACAGUGAACCCUAGCCUCUACAGUGAACCCUAGCCUCUACAGUGAACCCCAGCCUCUACAGUGAAUCCCAGCCUCUACAGUGAACCCCAGCCUCUACAGUGAACCCCAGCCUCUACAGUGCACCCCAGCCUCUACAGUGAACCCCAGCCUCUACAGUGAAUCACAGUGACACAGUGUAACUAAGUGACCUUUCAGCCUUCGUGAGGGCAUAUCAGUAGCUUUAAAAGGUGUUUACUAACAAAGGUGCUCAAUCGUUGCCUGAAGGAGGUGCUCCAGCGGUGUGUUAUCAGAGUGCCAGAGGCACAUGAGGGUGGUGGCACCUGGCGGCAGCUUCCGGCACCCGGGGUGCCAGCACUGGCCCGCUGCCAUGAUCUGAGCGCUGCCUGACUGACAGUUGAGCGCCACCAAUGAACGGCAAGUGGAAGCGCGCGCUCAGGAAGGUGAAGAAGAGGAUGGUGUUUAGCAAGUAUGAACAGGUGCUUCAGCGGAGGGACAGCGAGCGUGACCUGGGCGAGUACCGGGAUGCUGACCUGGGCUCCGGUUCCCUCUCCGGCAGCGGCUCCGGGGCA
Non-coding RNA from Procambarus clarkii (red swamp crayfish), 1068 nucleotides. Lineage: Eukaryota; Metazoa; Arthropoda; Malacostraca; Decapoda; Cambaridae. The record is from RefSeq and is a predicted model, not a curated record.